This 250-nucleotide ribosomal RNA is filed under the name uncultured Bacillus sp. Its description in RNAcentral is "partial 16S ribosomal RNA". It matches the Rfam family "Bacterial small subunit ribosomal RNA", at positions 1191 to 1442 of the family's 1533-position model. The record is from RNAcentral. Lineage: Bacteria; Bacillati; Bacillota; Bacilli; Caryophanales; Bacillaceae.
UAUCAUGUGCUUUGUGGCCUGGGGUACACACGUGUUACAAUGGGCAGAACAAAGGGCAGGGAAGCCGCGAGGCUAAGCCAAUCCCACAAAUCUGUGGACAGUUCGGAUCGCAGUCUGCAACUCGACUGCGUGAAGCUGGAAUCGCUAGUAAUCGCGGAUCAGCUUGCUGCGGUGAAUACGUUCCCGGGCCUUGUACACACCGCCCCCCGCCCACGAGAGUUUGUAACACCCGAGUCGGUGAGGUAACCUU